This 460-nucleotide ribosomal RNA is filed under the name uncultured bacterium. Its description in RNAcentral is "partial 16S ribosomal RNA". It matches the Rfam family "Bacterial small subunit ribosomal RNA", at positions 338 to 795 of the family's 1533-position model. The record is from RNAcentral.
CCUACGGGAGGCAGCAGUGAGGAAUAUUGGUCAAUGGACGAGAGUCUGAACCAGCCAAGUAGCGUGAAGGAUGACUGCCCUAUGGGUUGUAAACUUCUUUUAUAAAGGAAUAAAACGAGGCACGUGUGCCUUUUUGCAUGUACUUUAUGAAUAAGGAUCGGCUAACUCCGUGCCAGCAGCCGCGGUAAUACGGAGGAUCCGAGCGUUAUCCGGAUUUGUUGGGUUUAAAGGGAGCGUAGAUGGGUUGUUAAGUCAGUUGUGAAAGUUUGCGGCUCAACCGUAAAAUUGCAAUUGAUACUGGCAGUCUUGAGUACAGUUGAGGUAGGCGGAAUGCGUGGUGUAGCGGUGAAAUGCAUAGAUAUCACGAAGAACCCCGAUUGCGAAGGCAGCUUACUAAACUGUGACUGACAUUGAUGCUCGAAAGUGUGGGUAUCAAACAGGAUUAGAUACCCCAGUAGUC